This is a long non-coding RNA of Carassius gibelio (silver crucian carp), 3174 nucleotides long. RefSeq lists it as uncharacterized. The transcript is spliced from 4 exons. The record is from RefSeq and is a predicted model, not a curated record. NCBI's taxonomy places the organism in Eukaryota, Metazoa, Chordata, Actinopteri, Cypriniformes, Cyprinidae.
UCCAAAUGAGCUCGAUAAAAACAAACUAUAGCAGCUAUAGGCUUAUCAAACUUGACUGUGUGAAAGUAGAAGAGGAGAUCUUGAAAAUAGGAAAAUGGACAAAGCUAGACCUAGAAAAUGUCAAAUUAAACCGAGAAAUCAUUAAAUUACUAGAGAAGUUAAAGCCUCUGGCUAUUCCUUCCAGUGAUGCGCGGGACAAUGUAUUAAUAACCUGCACCUUACCGAUGUUUUCAACUAACCUGCCCGCAACUCGGACCACAAAAAAAACAAAAGAAAAUAUUGUAUCCGACCUGCUUCCUGACCUGCAUUUUUUUAAAGUAGUAAAUGCCCAUCGUAGCGUCAUUGGGCCAUAUACGUAGGAACUAGGCAAGAAAAAAAAAAUCACCUUAAUAUAUUCUAAUUUUGUCAAGAAUUUAAAAAAAUCAUCAAUAAGCACAUUGCUGAAUAUAUCCCGCUCUGCUCACUCACUCCGUGGGGUCAGUCGCUCAACCCAGAAUGGCCUGCUGGUUCCAAAAUAUGCAAGGAGAAAUUUAAUUGUUUAGAAAUAAACUGGUGUUGGCACCCCAUAAAAAAAAAAUAAUCACCAAAACUAUGCCAUUCGUUUGUGCUACGUUUGUGCUGAUUUGUGCCGCAGAAAUGAACGUUUGUGCUGGUUUGGUGUUUGAGAUAUUAAACAUUCUUUUUUUGACUGUAUGACGUCACUCUCCACCCCAUGUUGCCCAAAUCGUUCCAAACCAGCGCAGUUCAUUUGUGCUCGAUUUUUGCCACUAAAACAAACACUGUAUCUAUUUUCCUUCCAUAGAUAUAUCCAAAAUAUUUUCGAAGUCUCCUUCCCAGUUCGUCUAAAUCGCCCAAAACUGGUGUCAUUAGUUUGUGCUUGAUUUGUGCCGGUUUGUGUUGUUGAAAUGUACGUCAAAUAUAUUUCUUCUUCUUAGAAAUAACAAAAACAAUUCUGGGCAGUGACGUCACUCUCCACCCCAUGGCUUCCAAAUCUCUCCAAACCGGUGUCAUUCGUUUGUGCCGGAUUUGUGCUGGUUUGUGCUGUUAAAAGAAACUCUGUAACUAUGACCGCUUAUUUUAUAUAACAAAAUUAAACUUUUUACGAACAGUGACGUCACUCUCCACCCCAUGGCUUCCAAAUCUCUCCAAACCGGUGUCAUUCGUUUGUGCCGGAUUUGUGCUGGUUUGUGCUGUUAAGAGAAACUCUGUAACUAUGACCGCUUAUUUUAUAUAACAAAAAUAAACUUUUUACGAACAGUGACGUCACUCUCCACCCCAUGGCAGCCAAAUCUCUCCAAACUGGUAUCAUUCGUUUGUGCUAGAUUUGUGCUGGGUUGUGCCAUUCAAAUUAACAUUGUAUCUAUUUCUCGUCCUCAAACAUAACAAACACAAAACGGGCCAGUGACGUCACUCUCCACCCCAUACUGUCCAAAUCCCUCCAAACCAGUGCCAUUCGUUUGUGCUGGUUUGUGCCCAUUUGUGUUGUUAAAAUUAACAUUCUAUCUAUAUCCCCUCCUUAAGAAAUAACAAAUAUAACUCGGGGCAGUGACGUCACUCUCCACCCCAUGCCAUCCAAAUCGCCCCAAACCUGUGCAGUUUGUUUGUGCUCGAUUUGUGCUGUUUUGUGCCGUAGAAAGAACCAUCAAAAAUUAUUCCAUUCUUUAGUUUAAACAUCACAAAAUCUUUGGAGGAGUAGUGACGUCACGCAAGCAGGCCGCGAUCUCCAUCCAUCUUGAAUACAAACCUGUCGGGUUCGUUUGUGCUUGCACAGGGCCACAGCUGUCAUUGUUCUUUUCUUUGUUAGAUAUGGAAAUGUUUUAUUUUCAGUUACUUUAUCAAUCUCCAGAUAAAAAAAAGGUAGGUUAUGUGAUUGAUUGAUGCUAAGGCUAUUGCUUGUUUAUUAAAAAAUUUAUGUGGUGUCUCCCAGCUUUUUGAAAACUUUGUAGCAUGUCGGAACAUUGCGACGCACACUCUUUGUUUGUUUGUUUUUCCUUUUGUUAUGUUUUUUUUAUUCAAAUCGAGCUUAAUUUAUCAGAUGGAAGUUUAGGGUACUGUAGUUUGUUUUAAAUGGCUAUAUUGCAUUAUCUAGGCCUUUGUUACAGAUGCACAAAGCAAACUGUGCAUUUUAUCUUUCUCUGAAGGAGAAAGAGAACCAAGGAGCAGUGUUUAUGUUUGUUUAAUACGUCUUUAAAGCAACUAAUCGAUGACUGUUACUUGUUAGUUUGCUGUAUAGCUUGUUUAACUAGCAGGUCUUCCCUCACUUUUGACCAGUUUAGGAUUCUGUCAUUUCGUACUUGCCGAAAAAAAGAAAGUCAUAUAGUUUUUUUUUGUUGUUGGGUGAAGUAUGAAAGCAAACCACCUGGUUAAAGUUUUUUUAUUUAGCUCCCAAACUUGUUUCCUUUUAAAUGCAAAGAUUAAUGUAAAAAUAACAGCGAUUUCUGUGAAAGAAUUUACAAAUGUUUUUUUAAAUAACCAUAAAAUAAGAGAACUACAAAAAUAUGUUGACUUCAUGUAAGAGUAGUCCUAAAAUUAAUAGAUCUGGGUACAAAUAACAGAACAAUUACUAAAGAAAAAUAGAACUUCGGGUUAAAAAAAAGAAUGCUGUUAAAACAGUCAUAAAGUGAAUAGAGAUCAUGGUGAUUAACAACAAUAGAAAAAUCAAUAUAGUCCAAUCUCUUAUUGAUUAUGAACUAAUUUCUGCAGAAACCAGUCCAAAAUAAUCAUUAAUCAAAGGUUUUAGUCCUCCUUUGUGAACAACGUGACAUGGGGUUGUAUUUUGGUUUUUGCUGAGACUGUUGUGACAUAUUCACACAGAUCAUCAUAUUUCUCCCAGGCAAAAGAGUUUCUUCUGCAGUAAGCCACGUAAUGUCCAAGAGAUUCUCUUGUUGGUCCUGGAAUGAAUGCGACAACCCCUCGCAAAGUGAACAGCUGAUUGUCCAGCUCAAUGUCGACAAGGAUUUCAGGCAGUGGAUGCUAUCUGGACACUCUUGGGGUGAUUUCAGUGGCUUCAGACACUUGGACCUGCAUUUUUGCCCUCCUUGCAAUGCAGAACAAAGGCACUGGCAAAAGGAAUCAAAGGCACAGGCAGGCACGUGCACAGGGAAAGUGUAGUGAAUAAGAGACCUUCAAGAGACCAACAUACCUGGUCCACCACAGUAUCAAAUUUAUGCCAGG